This 253-nucleotide ribosomal RNA is filed under the name uncultured bacterium. Its description in RNAcentral is "partial 16S ribosomal RNA". It matches the Rfam family "Bacterial small subunit ribosomal RNA", at positions 524 to 776 of the family's 1533-position model. The record is from RNAcentral.
UACGUAGGGUGCAAGCGUUGUCCGGAAUUAUUGGGCGUAAAGAGCUUGUAGGCGGUUUGUCGCGUCUGCUGUGAAAUUUCGGGGCUCAACCUCGAGACGCCGGCGGAAACCAUCAGGCUAGAGUCCGGAAGAGGAGAGUGGAAUUCCCGGUGUAGCGGUGAAAUGCGCAGAUAUCGGGAAGAACACCCGUGGCGAAGGCGGCUCUCUGGGACGGUACUGACGCUGAGACGCGAAAGCGUGGGGAGCGAACAGG